Molecule: ribosomal RNA, 482 nt
Filed under: uncultured bacterium
Lineage: Bacteria
Description: partial 16S ribosomal RNA
Rfam family: Bacterial small subunit ribosomal RNA
Source: RNAcentral
AUUGAACGCUGGCGGCAUGCUUUACACAUGCAAGUCGAACGGUAACAGGCCGCCAGGUGCUGACGAGUGGCGAACGGGUGAGUAAUGCAUCGGAACGUGCCCAGUCGUGGGGGAUAACUACUCGAAAGAGUAGCUAAUACCGCAUACGAUCUAUGGAUGAAAGCGGGGGACCGUAAGGCCUCGCGCGAUUGGAGCGGCCGAUGUCAGAUUAGGUAGUUGGUGGGGUAAAGGCUCACCAAGCCAACGAUCUGUAGCUGGUCUGAGAGGACAACCGGCCACACUGGGACUGAGACACGGCCCAGACUCCUACGGGAGGCAGCAGUGGGGAAUUUUGGACAAUGGGCGCAAGCCUGAUCCAGCAAUGCCGCGUGCAGGAAGAAGGCCUUCGGGUUGUAAACUGCUUUUGUACGGAACGAAACGGCUCUGGUUAAUACCCGGGGCUAAUGACGGUACCGUAAGAAUAAGCACCGGCUAACUACGUG